AGGAAGCGGAAGACUAAUGACCGAAGCUUCAAGACUUUGACAUGUGUGAAAACAUGAAAUGACAGAGUGUUGCUCAGUUACCCAGGCUGGAGUGCAAUGGCAUGAUCUUGGCUCACUGCAGCCUCCACCUCCUGGGUUCAAGCGGUUCUCGUGCCUCAGUCUCCCAAGUAGCUGGGAUUACAGGCUGGAGUGCGAUGGCAUGAUCUUGGCUCACGGCAAACUCCGCCUCCCUGGUUCAAGUGAUUCUCCUGCCUCAGCCUCCCGAGUAGCCGGGAUUACAGGCAUGUGCCACCAUGCCCCGUUGGCCAGGCUGGUCUCGAACACCUUACCUCAGGUGAUCCUCCCACCUUUGGGAUUACAGGCUGAGGAAUUACCAAGGAGGCAGGAGGUGGAGCAAAACACACCAAGCCUGGUGCCAAUCAUUGACAAUAUUAUGACCCUGCAUGUGAUGGAUCAGCUGACACCAUCCAGAUCGGUAAACUGGUUCAUCUGAUCUUGUGCCCUCCACCCAGGAACUGACUCAGCGCAAGAAGACAGCUUCGACUCCUUGUGAUUUCAUCCCUAACCAAUCAGCACUCCUGGCUCACUGGCUUCCCCCAACCCACCAAAUUGUCCUUAAAAACUCUGCUCUCCAAACGCUGGGGGAGACUGAUUUGAGUAAUAAUAAAACCCUGGUCUCCUGCA
This is a long non-coding RNA of Homo sapiens (human), 684 nucleotides long. Ensembl annotates it as PCED1B antisense RNA 1. Its record names the gene PCED1B-AS1. NCBI's taxonomy places the organism in Eukaryota, Metazoa, Chordata, Mammalia, Primates, Hominidae. The record is from Ensembl.